RNAcentral lists this ribosomal RNA (748 nucleotides) under Enterobacteriaceae bacterium TP1. RNAcentral describes it as "bacterial SSU rRNA". It matches the Rfam family "Bacterial small subunit ribosomal RNA", at positions 25 to 766 of the family's 1533-position model. The record is from RNAcentral. Lineage: Bacteria; Pseudomonadati; Pseudomonadota; Gammaproteobacteria; Enterobacterales; Enterobacteriaceae.
CCCAAUGAACGCUGGCGGCAGGCCUAACACAUGCAAGUCGAACGGUAGCACAGAGAGCUUGCUCUCGGGUGACGAGUGGCGGACGGGUGAGUAAUGUCUGGGAAACUGCCUGAUGGAGGGGGAUAACUACUGGAAACGGUAGCUAAUACCGCAUAACGUCGCAAGACCAAAGAGGGGGACCUUCGGGCCUCUUGCCAUCAGAUGUGCCCAGAUGGGAUUAGCUAGUAGGUGGGGUAAUGGCUCACCUAGGCGACGAUCCCUAGCUGGUCUGAGAGGAUGACCAGCCACACUGGAACUGAGACACGGUCCAGACUCCUACGGGAGGCAGCAGUGGGGAAUAUUGCACAAUGGGCGCAAGCCUGAUGCAGCCAUGCCGCGUGUAUGAAGAAGGCCUUCGGGUUGUAAAGUACUUUCAGCGGGGAGGAAGGUGUUGUGGUUAAUAACCACAGCAAUUGACGUUACCCGCAGAAGAAGCACCGGCUAACUCCGUGCCAGCAGCCGCGGUAAUACGGAGGGUGCAAGCGUUAAUCGGAAUUACUGGGCGUAAAGCGCACGCAGGCGGUCUGUCAAGUCGGAUGUGAAAUCCCCGGGCUCAACCUGGGAACUGCAUUCGAAACUGGCAGGCUAGAGUCUUGUAGAGGGGGGUAGAAUUCCAGGUGUAGCGGUGAAAUGCGUAGAGAUCUGGAGGAAUACCGGUGGCGAAGGCGGCCCCCUGGACAAAGACUGACGCUCAGUCGAAAGCGUCCCC